Molecule: small RNA, 27 nt
Filed under: Bombyx mori (domestic silkworm)
Lineage: Eukaryota; Metazoa; Arthropoda; Insecta; Lepidoptera; Bombycidae
Description: ovarian small RNA-10910
Source: RNAcentral
ACAAAGACUACGUGUGCAGUCAUAUCA